CCCCUUUCCAUGGAGCCCAGGCCCCAACGGCGGCAGCUGCCCCUGCCUGACAUCCGGACCCAGCCUCACCUCUCCUUUCACAGCGAGCCCUGCUGGCACUGGGGGCCUGCAUUCCAGUUUUCCUCCCCAGCUGUGGGAUGCUGUUGGCGCCUUGGUGCCAGCCGCUGAGGUGAGCAGGUGGGUGAGGGGCUCCGUGAAGCUCUGGCAUCUGGUGUCCGGCCCAGGACUUGGGGGUGCUGGCCUCGCCGCCUGGCCGGGUCAUACAUAAGGGGUCGGUCAGCUCUGCCCCAGGCCAGGAUGCUGCUGGGCCCACAGCCGCCCCAGGACCCCCUCAGCCCAGGUGCCCUCCCUCAGUGCUCAGUUCCGGGGAUGACUGUGUCCCCCACCCCGUCACGCUGCUCAGCGAGCACCCUGUAAUCCCAUAUGGUAACUCAUGAAUCUACCCACUAAGAAACCACAACAUGUGAUUCCUCGAGGGAGGCUGGGGGGUAGUCGCGGAGUCGUGGCUGGGCCCAGCCGCGGACUCAGGUCUGUGAUGGGCUAACCUGUGCCCCCACAUCCGCAGGUGGGCGGCCUGACCCUAGACUCAGAGCGUGACUUCUUUGGAGACAGGGUCAUUGAAGGUGUGUGUGACGAUGAGGCCACGGGGUCACCCCUGACCAGUGUGACCAGUGUCCUUAUAAAAGGGGCGUGGACCCAGGCGGGCCUAGAGGGAUGGUGGCACAGAGGCAGGAGAAAAUGCCCACCAAAGCCCAGGAGGAGGCCUGGGACAGGCCCUUCCCGGCGCCUUCAGAGGGAGCCUGGCCCUGCCAGAUGCCUGGUCUCACGUCGGCCUCCAGGACUGCGAGACCUUCCUGCUGUGUGGGUGCCCAGUGCCAGCACUUGCUAAGGGUCCCCAGCCCCAGGAAAGCAGUGCCGUCCCCUGAGCCAAGUGGACCUCUCUCUGCUUCUGUGGCUUCUCUAUAUUUAGUUAUCAUGUUUCAAAGGCUUAUCAAAUCCCUGGGCAUAAAACGUUUUACGAAUCUGUCUAAAUAACGUUCCAAGGUGUCUCAUACUCGACGGAAUCUUGGACGGUGCUGCCCCUUGCAGGUGGCUGGGACUGCCUGGGUACAGCCUCUCCUUGGUUUUCAGCUUGGCUCUGCCUUCACCCCACAUGGGGUUCCGUCUGGCCCUAGCGGGGAGGGUGCUUGGCUCGGGCAGUGGGCUGGGCGGCCCCUGGCCCAGGACGGCUCUGGAGAAUAAGGAGGCCACCACAGGCCGGUAGGCCUGAGACCUCUGCCCCUUCUGAGGCCGCGGGGUUGAGCAGCUGAGCAGCUGACUCUCCCAUGGUCAGUGAGGGCUCAGCAUUUUCUCUUCUGGUUGAAAUAGAAACUGGGAAGUUGGAGGCCAAGAUUGAGGGGCAGGCGGAGGUGGUUCUCCUGCCAAGCUUCCUAAACGGCAGAAGCAGCAGAAGCAGCUAGGGUUAGUGUUGGCUUCUCUCUCUCUCUCUCUCUCUCUCUCUCUCUCUCUCUCUGUGUCUCUCUGUCUCUCUCUGUCUCUCUCUCUCUGUGUCUCUCUCUCUCUGUCUCUGUCUCUCUGUCUCUCGGUCUCUCUGUCUCUGUCUCUCUGUCUCUGUCUCUCUCUCUCUGUCUCUCUCUCUCUCUCUCUCAUUUAUUUCUAGAGCAUUUACAAAUUAAUUUUCCUGGUCUAAACCGGGAGGGGCUGCCAUGAUAAAAUGAAGCUGUUUGGUGUUCCAUGUCGAUCUCCCUGAGACAAUGCACUCCUGAGCCUGCUGGGCCCUGCCUCACAGCUGAGUCCUGGUCAGGGCCCUGCCCCUUCUUCCUCUCCCUUGGCCCUGGUUCCACAGAGACCUAUUUCUCCAGGGCAUCCAGGAAGCACCUACGGUGAUGGGGGAUUGCAUUUCAGCAGCAAUCCAUGUGUGAACAUUAAAACGAUCUCCUUAAAUAUUCAUGGUGACCAUGACCUCAUCUGGCUGCCUCGGGCCAGGGCUGGGUGCAGGUCAGGGAAGGGGGCUCAGGCCCUGAGACCCCAGCCUGGUCCCCAGCAAUACAGCUCCCCUCUGUCCUCUCCUCUCUGAGUCAACCCCUCCUGAGAGCUCCGAUGUCUCCUCUCUGGGGUGGCAGAGGUGGGGGCUGCUUUCCAAGCAAAGAAAUGCUCUGGGGCCACGUGGGAAUAAAUAUUUCAUGGGAGAGCAGACCUAGCCAGUAAAAAAUUAAGCAGCUUUACAUCAUCAGAGAGAGAAAGAAAGGGUUGCCUCAUGUUAUGAGUCUGCUGGUGUCCUUAGGACAGAGACAGGGAGACUGAGGUUUUGGGGUAAAUUAUUUAGGGUGUUGUAGGCUGGUCUAGGAAUGUUAAGCUGAAAUGAGACCGGCCCUGGAAGACGACAGGGGGAGCUGGGGUAAGAAGUGCUGCCUUAUGGAAGGCGUGGCGUGCAGAGACGCUGGCCACGAGGAACCCUUUCCCCGUGCACCUGCGCAGUAGCGCCUGCCUCGCGGGAGGCCCCACAGAUGUUGUUGAAUAAAGGGGCAGUGAGUCAGUGAGGCCAUUUCAGCCAUUUUUCUGUUGCCGCCUCACUCUGGAUUUAUGAAAGUACUUGCUAAUCGACGAUCGUCUUCGCCCGGCAUGCUGCAAAUUCACGUUUAUAUGCCCCCUGCCUCCCCCAAAUCAGCUACGGCAGAGUCAGGGGCAGGGACGGGUGGGCAUGGCCGGGCAGCUGCUCGGCUGCGUCACGCCGGGGGUGGCUGGAGCUGAUUCGGAAGCAGUGAAAUGUGGGCCCGCGUGGCUUCCCUGGAAAGAAAACAGGUCCUUGCCUAGAAAUUCAGUGGGUGACCUAAGAUGAUUGAGGGCUGUGUCCAUGUAAAUUUUUCAGUAAGGUGAGGGGCCAGUUUGUCAGUAAACUCCCUGGUGCUGUAAUUAGGGGGCUAUGUUCAGGAACUGGCUUCCUAAUGUGCAUUGAGGGCAGUGCUGACGCAGCCCAUGUACAUGCUAAAUACACGUGGGAGUGUUUGUGAAGAGACAGGCCUGCACAACACAGGGGACCUGACACUGAGCAUCCAUGUGGCCCUUUCUGGUACCCAGAACUGUGCACCCCCCUGUGCAGCAUCUCACAGGACUAAACAGACAGUAACACAACCCCGAACAGACAGUAAAAACCCGGAACAGAGAGGAACAACCCUGAACAGACAGUAACAACCCGGAACAGAGAGGAAGAACCCCAAACAGGCAGUAACAACCCCCAACAGGCAGUAACAACCCCGAACAGAGAGUAACAACCCUGAACAGAGAGGAACAACCCCGAACUGAGAGGAACAACCCUGAACAGACACUAACAACCCAGAACCAGGCAGUUACAAGCCUGAACAGACAGUAACAACCGGGAACAGACAGUAACAACCCUGAACAGACAGUAAAAACCCGGAACAGAGAGGAAGAACCCCAAACAGGCAGUAACAACCCCCAACAGGCAGUAACAACCCCGAACAGAGAGGAACAAUCCCAAACAGGCAGUAACAACCCCGAACAGAGAGGAACAACCCCGAACUGAGAGGAACAACCCCAAACAGGCAGGAACAACCCUGAACAGACACUAACAACCCAGAACCAGGCAGUUACAAGCCUGAACAGACAGUAACAACCGGGAACAGACAGUAACAACCCUGAACAGACAGUAAAAACCCGGAACAGAGAGGAAGAACCCCAAACAGGCAGUAACAACCCCCAACAGGCAGUAACAACCCCAAACAGAGAGGAACAAUCCCAAACAGGCAGUAACAACCCCGAACAGAGAGGAAGAAUCCCAAACAGGCAGUAACAACCCUGAACAGACAGUAAAAACCCCGGAACAGGGAGGAACAACCCCAAACAGGCAGGAACAACCCCAAACAGGCAGUAACAACCCUGAACAGAGAGUAACAACCCCGAACAGACAGUAACAACCCCGAACAGGCAGUAACAACCCCAAACAGAGAGGAACAACCCUGAACAGACAGUAACAACCCUGAACAGACAGUAAAACCCCAGAACAGAGAGGAACGAACCCAAACAGGCAGGAACAACCCUGAACAGGCAGUAACAACCCUGAACAGAGAGUAACAACCCUGAACAGACAGUAACAACCCAGAACAGGGAGGAACAACCCGGAACAGAGAGGAACAACCCCAAACAGGCAGGAACAACCCCAAACAGGCAGUAACAACCCCGAACAGAGAGUAACAACCCCGAACAGACAGUAACAACCACGAACAGGCAGUAACAACCCCGAACAGAGAGGAACAACCCUGAACAGGCAGUAACAACCCUGAACAGACAGUAAAACCCCAGAACAGAGAGGAACAACCCCAAACAGGCAGGAACAACCCUGAACAGGCAGUAACAACCCUGAACAGAGAGUAACAACCCUGAACAGACAGUAACAACCCAGAACAGGGAGGAACAACCCCAAACAGGCAGGAACAACCCCAAACAGGCAGUAACAAACCCGAAAAGAGAGUAACAACCCCGAACAGACAGUAACAACCACGAACAGGCAGUAACAACCCCGAACAGAGGGGAACAACCCCGAACAGAGAGUAAUAACCCCAAACAGGCCGUAACAACCCCGAACAGGCAGUAACAACCCCGAAGAGAGAGGAACAACCCCGAAAAGAUAGGAACAACAUCGAACAGAGAGGAACAACCCCAAACAGGCUAUAACAACCCCGAAGAGAGAGGAACAACCCCGAAAAGAGAGGAACAACCCCGAAAAGAGAAGAACAACACUGAACAGAGAGGAACAACCCCGAACAGGCAGGAACAACCCCGAACAGGCAGGAACAACCCCAAACAGAGUAACAACCCCGAACAGAGAGGAACAACCCCGAACAGAGGGGAACAACCCCGAACAGAGGGGAACAACCCCGAACAGAGAGUAACAACCCCGAACAGAGAGGAACAACCCCAAACAGGCAGUAACAACCCCGAACAGGCAGUAACAACCCCGAACAGAGAGGAACAACCCCAAACAGGCCGUAACAACCCCAAACAGAGGGGAACAACCCCGAACAGGCAGGAAAAACCCCAAACAGGCAGUAACAACCCCGAACAGAGAGUAACAACCCCAAAGAGAGAGGAACAACCCCGAAGAGAGAGUAACAACACAGAACAGAGAGGAACAACCCCGAACAGGCAGGAACAACCCCGAACAGGCAGGAACAACCCCAAACAGAGAGUAACAACCCCGAACAGAGAGGAACAACCCCGAACAGGCAGUAACAACACCGAACAGAGAGGAACAACCCCAAACAGAGAGGAACAACCCCAAACAGAGAGGAACAACCCCGAACAGAGAGGAACAACACCGAACAGAGAGGAACAACACCGAACAGAGAGGCACAACCCCGAACAGAGAGGAACAACCCCGAACAGAGAGGAACAACCCCGAACAGAGAGGAACAACACCGAACAGAGAGGAACAACACCGAACAGAGAGGCACAACCCCGAACAGAGAGGAACAACCCCGAGCAGGAAGUAACAACCCCGAAGAGAGAGGAACAACCCCGAACAGAGAGGAACAACCCCAAACAGAGAGGAACAACCCCGAACAGACAGUAACAACCCGGAACAGAGAGUAACAACCCAAAACAGGCAGUAACAAUCCCGAACAGGCAGUAACAACCCCGAACAGACAGUAACAGCCCUGAACAGAGUGUAACAACCCCGAACAGAGAGGAACAACACCGAACAGGCAGUAACAACCCCGAACAGAGAGUAACAACCCCGAACAGAGAGGAACAACCCCAAAUAGUCAGUAACAAUCCCGAACAGGCAGUAACAACUCCGAACAGAGAGUAACAACCCCGAACAGAAAGUAACAACCCCGAACAGAGAGUAACAACCCCGAACAGGCAGUAACAAUCCGGAACAGAGAGUAACAACCUGGAACAGGCAGUAACAACUCGGAACAGGCAGUAACAGCCCUGAACAGGCAGUAACAACCCGGAACAGAGAGUAACAACCCUGAGCAGGCAGUAACAACCCGGAACAGGCAGUAACAACCCCAGCUAAACCAAUAGAACCGGCCUGGCAGCCACUCCUGUUCCAGUGCAGCACUCCACCAUGCAGAGGGGUCGGAGAAGCAGUUGUAGGUCACAGCAAGGAGUGGGCCGUGGGGAUCAUGGCCAGGUCGUGAAAUCCAAGUGGCACCCGCCAUGGCACCAGCCAGAACAGGUCCCCUCCUUUCCAAAGGGCAGAGCUGGGGCUGGCCCUGGAGAUGCUGGGGUCAGCAAGGGCUGGGGCUGCGCUCCCUCCUGGGUCUGUGUCAAAAGCAGCCAGCACCGAAGCCUGUCCACAUCGGCCAGGCCCUGUGCAAGCCGCGCUUCCCAGCAGACGGCACGGAAUUGCUGGUGAGAGUGGACGCUGGGCCGGAACAGAGCGGCGCUUCCUG
This 6422-nucleotide long non-coding RNA is filed under the name Homo sapiens (human). RNAcentral's name for it is "HSALNT0117323". Lineage: Eukaryota; Metazoa; Chordata; Mammalia; Primates; Hominidae. The record is from RNAcentral.